CAGAUGAGGAAAUGGAGGUACAAAGAUGUGAAAUGACAACCAAGUCACACGUAUAAGGUGUGAAGACUGAAGCUGAGAGAAGUCAGCUGAUUUGGCCCAAGCGCGUGUGGCCAGACGCUAAAACUUGUUCUGGAAACUUCUUGCUGUCUCGCGUCACAGCUCCCAGAGGACUCCUCAUCUUUGAUCUCGGAGGAGAGUGUUGCUGUCUAUCUUCACUCCCACCUCCAGACUGAGAACAGGACUUGUUCCGAAGGAAUCAUCUACAUGUUUU
Manis javanica (Malayan pangolin) is the source of this 271-nucleotide long non-coding RNA. RefSeq lists it as uncharacterized. Lineage: Eukaryota; Metazoa; Chordata; Mammalia; Pholidota; Manidae. The record is from RefSeq and is a predicted model, not a curated record.